GAUGAACGCUGGCGGCGUGCCUAAUACAUGCAAGUCGAGCGAACAGACGAGGAGAUUGCUCUCCUGCCGUUAGCGGCGGACGGGUGGGUAACACGUGGAUCACCUACUUCUAUGUCUGGGAUAACAUCGGAAAACCGCAGAUACUACUGGAUCAUAUAUUGUACCGCAUGGUUCAGUGGUGCUUCACAGUUUUGCUGUCACUUUUAGCUGAUUCCGUGCCGGAUUAGCUAGUUGGUAAGGUAACGGCUUACCAAGGCAACGAUGCGUAGCUGACCUGAGAGGGUGAUCGGCCACACUGGAACUGAGACACGGUCCAGACUCCUACGGGAGGCAGCAGUAGGGAAUAUUCCGCAAUGGGCGAAAGCCUGACGGAGCAACGCCGCGUGAGUGAUGAAGGUCUUCGGAUCGUAAAGCUCUUUUGUUAGGAAAGAACAAAAGUAUGUGAAUCUAUCGACGUCUUGACGGUACCCAAUCAAAAAGCAACGGCUAACUUCGUG
Molecule: ribosomal RNA, 497 nt
Filed under: uncultured bacterium
Lineage: Bacteria
Description: partial 16S ribosomal RNA
Rfam family: Bacterial small subunit ribosomal RNA
Source: RNAcentral